Molecule: long non-coding RNA, 201 nt
Filed under: Lathyrus oleraceus (garden pea)
Lineage: Eukaryota; Viridiplantae; Streptophyta; Magnoliopsida; Fabales; Fabaceae
Description: Pisum sativum (pea) long non-coding RNA (PSAT_LNC012761)
Source: RNAcentral
AUUCUUCUAUCUCUUUUUCUUUUCUUUUCUUUUAUAAAUAUAAAUAAAAAAAUAGAAGACAAACAAAAAAAAAUUAAAACCGGAGGAUUAUCACUAAUAAUAAGAGAUAAAGAUACACAUAUCAACACAAUUAAAAAAAUCAGUUAACGAAAAUAAAGAUGAAGAAGAGAAGUGAGAGUAAGGGAGUUGAAUUAGAAAUUU